CCUCGCUCUCCUCCUCAUCGCCCUUCUGGCCUCGUGCGGGCUGGCGGCGCCCAUGAUCUCCAAUGCUGUGGAGGAGAGCUCCUUCACCCGCGGCUUCCGAGAGAACGCCGGUCUUCCUCCAGCAGACGAUUACUCCAUCACCAUCGAAUACGCGUUUCCCAUCUAUUCCUUCCACAUUCCUUUUAAAUUCGCUAGUUAAUGUCUCUCCACAAUCCUUUGGAAUUCGCUAGUUAUUGAGGCGGAAUCGUGAUAUUUUAAGCCAUUUUCGACUACGUUUUUUGAAGACUGUGGAGCACGUGGCAUAAGCACAAGAACAUGUUUGUCCAACGUGUUUGGAAGAUUUCGCCGAUAGAUGUCUCCUUAUGAAGAUCCUAUAUAAGUGGAGUUUGAUUUUUUAAAUAAGGGAUGUGAUCCUUUUUUGUGCUGUAUGAAUGUAUUUAUUGGUUCCUCUUCUUGUUUAUUAUUUAUUUUGUAAUUAAACUGUUAAAAUGAA
Penaeus monodon (black tiger shrimp) is the source of this 493-nucleotide long non-coding RNA. RefSeq lists it as uncharacterized. NCBI's taxonomy places the organism in Eukaryota, Metazoa, Arthropoda, Malacostraca, Decapoda, Penaeidae. The transcript is spliced from 2 exons. The record is from RefSeq and is a predicted model, not a curated record.